This is a long non-coding RNA of Brienomyrus brachyistius, 882 nucleotides long. RefSeq lists it as uncharacterized. The record is from RefSeq and is a predicted model, not a curated record. NCBI's taxonomy places the organism in Eukaryota, Metazoa, Chordata, Actinopteri, Osteoglossiformes, Mormyridae. The transcript is spliced from 3 exons.
UCUUUUUUAAUCAUAAUUUUCUUCCUUCAUUCCUGCUGACAGUUGGGGCAGAGACUGUCAUACGCUCUGGGUAACACUCACAGCCAGAUGCCGCGCUACAGUGAAAGAUUUACAAAUGUGACAAAAGGUCUUCUGUUUGUCCAUUAAUUCCUACAUAGAGUUUUAAUCCCGUUUACAUGAAAAGCUGUACUUAUUGUGUCCCUGACUAUUCCAAAUUUCUUUUUGCAGCAAACUGACAAACCGAAUAAGCCCAGGACACUGGAAAAUACUUGAAAAACAUGUGAGUUGGAGGGAUUUGACAAAAACAUCCUUUUAGAAAUGCGUGAGGAAGGUCAAGACUCUGGUCUCCAGCUCACCGCUCUCUGUUACAUUUCCAUGGCCAUGUUGUCCGAUAGUAUUAUUGGAUUUUUCUAUACUAUAGUUUUUUAUGUUUAAUUAUUGCACGCUAUAUAAAUUGUUAUAAUAGUUUAUUUUUCCUUUUGAUGUGUGUGUGCUUAAAAGUAUUAAAUAUGAGUAAUAGCAAAUACAGUUUCCUCAGUAAUGUAUUUCAUGAAAUGAUAUUUUCCCAACAAAACCCAUGUUUGCAUUCAAGUCUCUUAUGGUUUGUACAUAAUAUUUGCAACAAUUGUAAAUAUUUUGCAGAAUAUGUACUACAAGCCUCUGCAGUUGCAGCCGCACCCAUAUCCAAAUUCAUAUAUGAUAUAUUUGUAUAUGUGUGUUUCAACAUUCCUAAAAACCCUUAGGUUACAUAAUAUAUCCAAAUAUAGGGAAUUUCAGUAUGAGUCCUGAUGUAUUAUCCAUAAUGCUGUACUUGCCCUACACACGGUGAGUUUGUAAUAGAAUCUUAGCCAGUCAUUACUGAGUAGUUGUCACGUGUUGAAC